RNAcentral lists this ribosomal RNA (497 nucleotides) under uncultured bacterium. RNAcentral describes it as "partial 16S ribosomal RNA". It matches the Rfam family "Bacterial small subunit ribosomal RNA", at positions 28 to 507 of the family's 1533-position model. The record is from RNAcentral.
GAUGAACGCUGGCGGCGUGCCUAAUACAUGCAAGUCGAGCGAACAGACGAGGAGCUUGCUCCUCUGACGUUAGCGGCGGACGGGUGAGUAACACGUGGAUAACCUACCUAUAAGACUGGGAUAACUUCGGGAAACCGGAGCUAAUACCGGAUAAUAUAUUGAACCGCAUGGUUCAAUAGUGAAAGACGGUUUUGCUGUCACUUAUAGAUGGAUCCGCGCCGCAUUAGCUAGUUGGUAAGGUAACGGCUUACCAAGGCAACGAUGCGUAGCCGACCUGAGAGGGUGAUCGGCCACACUGGAACUGGAACACGGUCCAGACUCCUACGGGAGGCAGCAGUAGGGGAUCUUCCGCAAUGGGCGAAAGCCUGACGGAGCAACGCCGCGUGAGUGAUGAAGGUCUUCGGAUCGUAAAACUCUGUUAUUAGGGAAGAACAAAUGUGUAAGUAACUAUGCACGUCGUGACGGUACCUAGUCAGAAAGCCACGGCUAACUACGUG